UUCUGUUUGAAAGCUCCGGCGGAUGCGGAUGGGCUCGCGUGACAUUAGCUAGUCGGCGGGGUAACGGCCCACCGAGGCGACGAUGUCUAGGGGUUCUGAGAGGAAGGUCCCCCACACUGGAACUGAGACACGGUCCAGACUCCUACGGGAGGCAGCAGUGAGGAAUAUUGGUCAAUGGCCGGAAGGCUGAACCAGCCAUGCCGCGUGCAGGAAUGAGGCCCUAUGGGUCGUAAACUGCUUUUGUGGCGGAGCAAUAAGGUGUACGUGUACACCGAUGAGAGUACGUCACGAAUAAGCAUCGGCUAACUCCGUGCCAGCAGCCGCGGUAAUACGGAGGAUGCGAGCGUUAUCCGGAUUUAUUGGGUUUAAAGGGUGCGUAGGCGGGUUGCCAAGUCAGGGGUGAAAUCCCGGAGCCUAACUCCGGAACUGCCUUUGAUACUGGCAGUCUUGAAUUCGGAUGCCGUGGGAGGAAUGAGUAGUGUAGCGGUGAAAUGCAUAGAUAUUACUCAGAACACCGAUUGCGAAGGCAUCUCACGAAUCCGACAUUGACGCUGAGGCACGAAAGCGUGGGGAUCAAACA
Molecule: ribosomal RNA, 580 nt
Filed under: uncultured rumen bacterium
Lineage: Bacteria
Description: bacterial SSU rRNA
Rfam family: Bacterial small subunit ribosomal RNA
Source: RNAcentral